Molecule: ribosomal RNA, 629 nt
Filed under: Nostoc sp.
Lineage: Bacteria; Bacillati; Cyanobacteriota; Cyanophyceae; Nostocales; Nostocaceae
Description: bacterial SSU rRNA
Rfam family: Bacterial small subunit ribosomal RNA
Source: RNAcentral
GGUAGUGUAAUGGACUACCUAGGCGACGAUCAGUAGCUGGUCUGAGAGGACGAUCAGCCACACUGGGACUGAGACACGGCCCAGACUCCUACGGGAGGCAGCAGUGGGGAAUUUUCCGCAAUGGGCGAAAGCCUGACGGAGCAAUACCGCGUGAGGGAGGAAGGCUCUUGGGUCGUAAACCUCUUUUCUCAGGGAAGAACACAAUGACGGUACCUGAGGAAUAAGCAUCGGCUAACUCCGUGCCAGCAGCCGCGGUAAUACGGAGGAUGCAAGCGUUAUCCGGAAUGAUUGGGCGUAAAGCGUCCGCAGGUGGCUAUGUAAGUCUGCUGUUAAAGAGUCUAGCUCAACUAGAUAMRAGCAGUGGAAACUACAUGGCUAGAGUGCGUUCGGGGCAGAGGGAAUUCCUGGUGUAGCGGUGAAAUGCGUAGAGAUCAGGAAGAACACCGGUGGCGAAGGCGCUCUGCUAGGCCGCAACUGACACUGAGGGACGAAAGCUAGGGGAGCGAAUGGGAUUAGAUACCCCAGUAGUCCUAGCCGUAAACGAUGGAUACUAGGCGUGGCUUGUAUCGACCCGAGCCGUGCCGUAGCUAACGCGUUAAGUAUCCCGCCUGGGGAGUACGCCGGCAACG